UACGGAGGGUGCAAGCGUUAUCCGGAAUCAUUGGGUUUAAAGGGUCCGCAGGCGGUCUUAUAAGUCAGUGGUGAAAGCCUACAGCUCAACUGUAGAACUGCCAUUGAUACUGUAAGACUUGAAUUUGGUCGAAGUGGGCGGAAUGUGACAUGUAGCGGUGAAAUGCAUAGAUAUGUCACAGAACACCGAUAGCGAAGGCAGCUCACUAGGCCAACAUUGACGCUCAUGGACGAAAGCGUGGGGAGCAAACAGG
This 253-nucleotide ribosomal RNA is filed under the name uncultured bacterium. Its description in RNAcentral is "partial 16S ribosomal RNA". It matches the Rfam family "Bacterial small subunit ribosomal RNA", at positions 524 to 776 of the family's 1533-position model. The record is from RNAcentral.